Molecule: ribosomal RNA, 253 nt
Filed under: uncultured bacterium
Lineage: Bacteria
Description: partial 16S ribosomal RNA
Rfam family: Bacterial small subunit ribosomal RNA
Source: RNAcentral
UACGUAGGGUGCGAGCGUUAUUCGGAAUUACUGGGCGUAAAGCGUGCGCAGGCGGUUUUUUGAGUCUGGCGUGAAAUCCCCGGGCUCAACCUGGGAAUGGCAUUUGGGACUGCAAGGCUGGAGUGCGGCAGAGGAGACUGGAAUUCCUGGUGUAGCAGUGAAAUGCGUAGAUAUCAGGAGGAAUACCGAUGGCGAAGGCAGGUCUCUGGGCUGACACUGACGCUCAUGCACGAAAGCGUGGGGAGCAAACAGG